GGUUAAGCGACUAAGCGUACACGGUGGAUGCCCUGGCAGUCAGAGGCGAUGAAGGACGUGCUAAUCUGCGAAAAGCGUCGGUAAGGUGAUAUGAACCGUUAUAACCGGCGAUGUCCGAAUGGGGAAACCCAGUGCAAUUCGUUGCACUAUCGUUUGAUGAAUACAUAGUCAAACGAGGCGAACCGGGGGAACUGAAACAUCUAAGUACCCCGAGGAAAAGAAAUCAACCGAGAUUCCCCCAGUAGCGGCGAGCGAACGGGGAGCAGCCCGGAGUCUGAAUCAGCUUGUGUGUUAGUGGAAGCGUCUGGAAAGUCGCAGGGUACAGGGUGAUACUCCCGUACACUAAAACGCACAGGCUGUGAACUCGAAGAGUAGGGCGGGACACGUGGUAUCCUGUCUGAAUAUGGGGGGACCAUCCUCCAAGGCUAAAUACUCCUGACUGACCGAUAGUGAACCAGUACCGUGAGGGAAAGGCGAAAAGAACCCCGGCGAGGGGAGUGAAAAAGAACCUGAAACCGUGUACGUACAAGCAGUAGGAGCCCCACCACCAAAGCGUUUCGCUUUGCGUGGUGCGCAAAAUGCGUAACGACAGCAUGAUGGACGGUUAACGGAGCGUCAGCGACGUUCAACCUCAAAAAUCAGGCAGUGGAGCGUUUUGGGGUGGGGUGACUGCGUACCUUUUGUAUAAUGGGUCAGCGACUUAUAUUCUGUAGCAAGGUUAACCGAAUAGGGGAGCCGCAGGGAAACCGAGUCUUAACUGGGCGUUAAGUUGCAGGGUAUAGACCCGAAACCCGGUGAUCUAGCCAUGGGCAGGUUGAAGGUUGGGUAACACUAACUGGAGGACCGAACCGACUAAUGUUGAAAAAUUAGCGGAUGACUUGUGGCUGGGGGUGAAAGGCCAAUCAAACCGGGAGAUAGCUGGUUCUCCCCGAAAGCUAUUUAGGUAGCGCCUCGUGAACUCAUCUUCGGGGGUAGAGCACUGUUUCGGCUAGGGGGUCAUCCCGACUUACCAACCCGAUGCAAACUACGAAUACCGAAGAAUGUUAUCACGGGAGACACACGGCGGGUGCUAACGUCCGUCGUGAAGAGGGAAACAACCCAGACCGCCAGCUAAGGUCCCAAAGUCAUGGUUAAGUGGGAAACGAUGUGGGAAGGCCCAGACAGCCAGGAUGUUGGCUUAGAAGCAGCCAUCAUUUAAAGAAAGCGUAAUAGCUCACUGGUCGAGUCGGCCUGCGCGGAAGAUGUAACGGGGCUAAACCAUGCACCGAAGCUGCGGCAGCGACACUAUGUGUUGUUGGGUAGGGGAGCGUUCUGUAAGCCGUUGAAGGUGGCCUGUGAGGGUUGCUGGAGGUAUCAGAAGUGCGAAUGCUGACAUAAGUAACGAUAAUGCGGGUGAAAAACCCGCACGCCGGAAGACCAAGGGUUCCUGUCCAACGUUAAUCGGGGCAGGGUGAGUCGACCCCUAAGGCGAGGCCGAAAGGCGUAGUCGAUGGGAAACAGGUUAAUAUUCCUGUACUUGGUGUUACUGCGAAGGGGGGACGGAGAAGGCUAUGUUGGCCGGGCGACGGUUGUCCCGGUUUAAGCAUGUAGGCGGAUGUUCCAGGUAAAUCCGGAACGUUAUUAACGCUGAGGUGUGAUGACGAGGCACUACGGUGCUGAAGUGACAAAUGCCCUGCUUCCAGGAAAAGCCUCUAAGCAUCAGGUAACAUCAAAUCGUACCCCAAACCGACACAGGUGGUCAGGUAGAGAAUACCAAGGCGCUUGAGAGAACUCGGGUGAAGGAACUAGGCAAAAUGGUGCCGUAACUUCGGGAGAAGGCACGCUGAUGGUAAGUGAAGCGACUUGCUCGUGGAGCUGAAAUCAGUCGAAGAUACCAGCUGGCUGCAACUGUUUAUUAAAAACACAGCACUGUGCAAACACGAAAGUGGACGUAUACGGUGUGACGCCUGCCCGGUGCCGGAAGGUUAAUUGAUGGGGUUAUCCUCACGGAGAAGCUCUUGAUCGAAGCCCCGGUAAACGGCGGCCGUAACUAUAACGGUCCUAAGGUAGCGAAAUUCCUUGUCGGGUAAGUUCCGACCUGCACGAAUGGCGUAAUGAUGGCCAGGCUGUCUCCACCCGAGACUCAGUGAAAUUGAACUCGCUGUGAAGAUGCAGUGUACCCGCGGCAAGACGGAAAGACCCCGUGAACCUUUACUAUAGCUUGACACUGAACACUGGUCCUUGAUGUGUAGGAUAGGUGGGAGGCUUUGAAGUGUGGACGCCAGUCUGCAUGGAGCCAUCCUUGAAAUACCACCCUUUAAUGGCUGGUGUUCUAACGUGGGCCCGUGAUCCGGGUUGCGGACAGUGUCUGGUGGGUAGUUUGACUGGGGCGGUCUCCUCCUAAAGAGUAACGGAGGAGCACGAAGGUCAGCUAAUCCUGGUCGGACAUCAGGAGGUUAGUGCAAUGGCAUAAGCUGGCUUGACUGCGAGCGUGACGGCGCGAGCAGGUGCGAAAGCAGGUCAUAGUGAUCCGGUGGUUCUGAAUGGAAGGGCCAUCGCUCAACGGAUAAAAGGUACUCCGGGGAUAACAGGCUGAUACCGCCCAAGAGUUCAUAUCGACGGCGGUGUUUGGCACCUCGAUGUCGGCUCAUCACAUCCUGGGGCUGAAGUAGGUCCCAAGGGUAUGGCUGUUCGCCAUUUAAAGUGGUACGCGAGCUGGGUUUAGAACGUCGUGAGACAGUUCGGUCCCUAUCUGCCGUGGGCGCUGGAGAAUUGAGGGGGGCUGCUCCUAGUACGAGAGGACCGGAGUGGACGCAUCACUGGUGUUCGGGUUGUCAUGCCAAUGGCAUUGCCCGGUAGCUAAAUGCGGAAGAGAUAAGUGCUGAAAGCAUCUAAGCACGAAACUUGCCCCGAGAUGAGUUCUCCCUGACUCCUUGAGAGUCCUGAAGGAACGUUGAAGACGACGACGUUGAUAGGCCGGGUGUGUAAGCGCAGCGAUGCGUUGAGCUAACCGGUACUAAUGAACCGUGAGGCUUAACCUU
This 3020-nucleotide ribosomal RNA is filed under the name Klebsiella oxytoca. RNAcentral's name for it is "23S ribosomal RNA". It matches the Rfam family "Bacterial large subunit ribosomal RNA". The record is from RNAcentral. Lineage: Bacteria; Pseudomonadati; Pseudomonadota; Gammaproteobacteria; Enterobacterales; Enterobacteriaceae.